CCUACGGGUGGCAGCAGUGAGGAAUAUUGGUCAAUGGACGCAAGUCUGAACCAGCCAUGCCGCGUGCGGGAAGACGGUUCUCUGAAUUGUAAACUGCUUUUGUAGGAGAGUAAACGCAGAUACGCGUAUCUGUCUGAAAGUAUCGUACGAAUAAGGAUCGGCUAACUCCGUGCCAGCAGCCGCGGUAAUACGGAGGAUUCAAGCGUUAUCCGGAUUUAUUGGGUUUAACGGGUGGGUAGGCGGUCGGAUAAGUUAGAGGUGAAAUCCCGAGGCUCAACCUCGGAAUUGCCUCUGAUACUGUGCGGCUAGAGAGUAGGUGCGGUAGGCGGAAUGUAUGGUGUAGCGGUGAAAUGCGUAGAGAUCAGGCAGAACACCGAUUGCGAAGGCAGCUUACCAGGCUACUACUGACGUUGAGGCACGAAAGCGUGGGGAGCGAACAGGAUUAGAUACCCCGGUAGUC
This 460-nucleotide ribosomal RNA is filed under the name uncultured bacterium. Its description in RNAcentral is "partial 16S ribosomal RNA". It matches the Rfam family "Bacterial small subunit ribosomal RNA", at positions 338 to 795 of the family's 1533-position model. The record is from RNAcentral.